RNAcentral lists this ribosomal RNA (482 nucleotides) under uncultured bacterium. RNAcentral describes it as "partial 16S ribosomal RNA". It matches the Rfam family "Bacterial small subunit ribosomal RNA", at positions 28 to 523 of the family's 1533-position model. The record is from RNAcentral.
GACGAACGCUGGAGGCGUGCUUAACACAUGCAAGUCGAACGAUGAAAUGGAGCUUGCUCCAUGGAUUAGUGGCGAACGGGUGAGUAACACGUGAAUAACCUGCCCUUAAUUUUGGAAUAACCCAGGGAAACCUGGGCUAAUACCGGAUAAGUAAACCUGUGGCAUCACAUGGUUUUGGAAAGUUUUUCGAUUAAGGGUGGAUUCGCGGCCUAUCAGCUUGUUGGUGAGGUAAUGGCUCACCAAGGCGACGACGGGUAGCCGGCCUGAGAGGGUGAACGGCCACACUGGGACUGAGACACAGCCCAGACUCCUACGGGAGGCAGCAGUGGGGAAUAUUGCGCAAUGGACGAAAGUCUGACGCAGCGACGCCUCGUGAGGGACACAGGUCUUCGGAUUGUAAACCUCUUUCAGCAGGGACGAAGCGAAAGUGACGGUACCUGCAGAAGAAGCACCGGCUAACUAUGUGCCAGCCGCCGCCGUAA